Non-coding RNA from Malus domestica (apple), 664 nucleotides. NCBI's taxonomy places the organism in Eukaryota, Viridiplantae, Streptophyta, Magnoliopsida, Rosales, Rosaceae. The record is from RefSeq and is a predicted model, not a curated record.
GCCGGGGAAGGGACAGACGUCUCAGAAUCUCUUGGGGAUUCAGGAGCCGAAGAAACAAUUAAAGAAAUAGCCAAGGAUACGAUCAAAGCAUCUAAACGAAAGAGGGUGGCCAUAACUAAAACCACAAUCUCCGAUCCGGCACUUCCUUCAGCAACCACACGACCAAUUCUUACCCGAAAGAGUAAGCGGGCAAGAGUCACCGUGCCUCCUAAACCAGCAGCCCCAUCUGCUCCUGUUUCUGAAGCGGGUAAAGAGACAGAACAAUCUUCCAGUGAGUCUCUCCUCUUCUGGAUCAAAUGGCUACCUUUCUCCCUUAUCUGAUUAUCCCUUUAUCACUCAACAGGACCUCAAACUUCUAAAAGGUCAACCCUUGCUUCUAAGAAGGAAUCACGAAGGGCUGCUACGCCUAAAGAGGCUACAAGGAAAGAAAGUCUUUCUCCGCAACCUACCCUAGAUGCAACCCCUUCUUCUCAAUUUGAUCCUUCCACAGGAAUCAUGUUGCAUUUUGUGGAUGAGGAUGAUACUUUGCCAUCUUCGGGAUAUGAACCCCUUCCCCCGUCAGUGGCCUUGGAUAAAGAACCCAUAGUUCCUGAGAUCCCUGUAGCUUUAGACACAACUACUUCGCAAGCGCUUACUCGCCAGACGGUCGAUGAACCUCCUUCUU